Molecule: ribosomal RNA, 254 nt
Filed under: uncultured bacterium
Lineage: Bacteria
Description: partial 16S ribosomal RNA
Rfam family: Bacterial small subunit ribosomal RNA
Source: RNAcentral
CGUAGGGCGCGAGCGUUGUCCGGAAUUAUUGGGCGUAAAGGGCUCGUAGGCGGUUUGUCGCGUCUGCUGUGAAAGACCGGGGCUUAACUCCGGGGUUGCAGUGGGUACGGGCAGACUAGAGUGCGGUAGGGGUAGCUGGAAUUCCUGGUGUAGCGGUGGAAUGCGCAGAUAUCAGGAGGAACACCGAUGGCGAAGGCAGGUUACUGGGCCGUUACUGACGCUGAGGAGCGAAAGCAUGGGGAGCGAACAGGAUU